GGUGACUCAGUGGUAGAGCACUUGCCUUGCAUGCAUGAGGACCUGGGUUCAAUUCCUCAGCACCA
RNAcentral lists this transfer RNA (65 nucleotides) under Dipodomys ordii (Ord's kangaroo rat). It matches the Rfam family "tRNA". Rfam says of the family: Transfer RNA (tRNA) molecules are approximately 80 nucleotides in length. Lineage: Eukaryota; Metazoa; Chordata; Mammalia; Rodentia; Heteromyidae. The record is from Rfam by way of RNAcentral.